RNAcentral lists this Y RNA (96 nucleotides) under Propithecus coquereli (Coquerel's sifaka). RNAcentral describes it as "Y RNA (ENSPCOG00000009951.1)". It matches the Rfam family "Y RNA". From Rfam's summary of the family: Y RNAs are components of the Ro ribonucleoprotein particle (Ro RNP), in association with Ro60 and La proteins. The Y RNAs and Ro60 and La proteins are well conserved, but the function of the Ro RNP is not known. In humans the RNA component can be one of four small RNAs -- hY1, hY3, hY4 and hY5. The record is from Rfam by way of RNAcentral. Lineage: Eukaryota; Metazoa; Chordata; Mammalia; Primates; Indriidae.
GGCUGGUCCAAUGGUAGUGGGUUAUCAGAACUUACUAACAUUAGUGUCACUAAAGUUGAUAUUUAACCCCCCACUACUAAAUUUGACUGGCUUUAA